This 101-nucleotide ribosomal RNA is filed under the name Frullania chevalieri. RNAcentral describes it as "partial 5.8S ribosomal RNA". It matches the Rfam family "5.8S ribosomal RNA", at positions 55 to 154 of the family's 154-position model. Rfam says of the family: 5.8S ribosomal RNA (5.8S rRNA) is a component of the large subunit of the eukaryotic ribosome. The record is from RNAcentral. Lineage: Eukaryota; Viridiplantae; Streptophyta; Jungermanniopsida; Porellales; Frullaniaceae. RNAcentral also lists the same sequence under 1 other name.
GCGAUACCUAGUGUGAAUUGCAGAAUUCCGCGAAUCAUCGAGUUUUUGAACGCAAGUUGCGCCCGAGGCUCGUACCGAGGGCAUGUCUGUCUGAGCGUCCA